GACGUAGGGGGCAAGCGUUGUUCGGAUUUACUGGGCGUAAAGGGCGCGUAGGCGGCCACCGCAAGUCGACUGUGAAAUCUCCGGGCUUAACCCGGAAAGGUCAGCCGAUACUGCGGGGCUAGAGUGCAGAAGGGGCAACUGGAAUUCUCGGUGUAGCGGUGAAAUGCGUAGAUAUCGAGAGGAACACCUGCGGCGAAGGCGGGUUGCUGGGCUGACACCGACGCUGAGGCGCGAAAGCUAGGGGAGCGAACGGG
Molecule: ribosomal RNA, 254 nt
Filed under: uncultured bacterium
Lineage: Bacteria
Description: partial 16S ribosomal RNA
Rfam family: Bacterial small subunit ribosomal RNA
Source: RNAcentral